RNAcentral lists this microRNA precursor (96 nucleotides) under Camelus bactrianus (Bactrian camel). Its description in RNAcentral is "mir-544 microRNA precursor family". It matches the Rfam family "mir-544 microRNA precursor family". Lineage: Eukaryota; Metazoa; Chordata; Mammalia; Artiodactyla; Camelidae. The record is from Rfam by way of RNAcentral. RNAcentral also lists the same sequence under 2 other names.
AUCACCUGAGGAUCUUGUUAAAAUGCAGAUUCCUGUUCAGAGGAGCUGGGAUGGACCUGAGAUUCUGCAUUUCUAACAACUCCCAGGUGUUGCUGC